AAUAGAUGUGGAACAAAAACCUAUUGUCUAACAUCUUGAGAGAAAAUCAGUUGACAGGUCCUAGUUAUGAGGAUCAAAAGAAGAGAAAUUGAACAAUCCACUUAUUGCUCAUGAUUAUAAGUUUGUUGAAGUUGACAAUGGUCAAAGGUUAUGCAACUACUCUCUUUCAUCAUCAAGAAAGGGUUCAGAUUGGGCGCCGUAUCUGCACUGAAUUCUCAAAAGGACUGAUGCCCUAGGUGCUGCUGGAAGCACCAAAAGUCUUGAUUAGUUUGAUCGUUGGAGCCCUGCUUCCAUACUGGUGUUCUGCUGUGACCAUGCAUGAAGAUUGUAGGAAGCUACAGCUCUUAAGAUGGUGAAAGAACUUCGCAGGAAAUUUGUCACCUUUCCUCGUCUUAUAGAAGACGAAGCAGUUAUCAGGAUUGUCGAGGACAAGCGGAUAUUGAAUUAGAAAAAGAAACAAGUAGAAUUCAGGUAAUCUUAUUUGUACUGCUGGAACUCAGAUUUUUAGAUGAGAAAAGAGUCAGCUGCCUAUACUUAGCAGUUAUGAAUCAUCCGACAGUUGAACUCACU
Molecule: long non-coding RNA, 570 nt
Organism: Papaver somniferum (opium poppy)
Lineage: Eukaryota; Viridiplantae; Streptophyta; Magnoliopsida; Ranunculales; Papaveraceae
Exons: 3
Source: RefSeq, a predicted model, not a curated record